CCGUGGACCUCUGCGCGCUGGUAUUUAAGUGUCUCGCGGUGACGCUUCGGUCUCAUUUUUCCCGGGCUUUCGGGUUUGGGCGCGCAUCGAACUCUGAAGGGUCGGGAAGGCCUGUCGUUGGAAUGGGGUUGAGUUCCAGGGAGUGUACAGGCUGGAGGAUGGGACAAGACCUAUCUCUGUAUAGAUCAAGCACGGUGUUGGUGUUCCAGCUCAUCACCAAUCCUAAGAAAUUCAAGUGCCUCCCAGGAUGAAUACAGGUUGUCUUGAUGGUGAUACAUUCAUCUGUCUUAAGAUCCCUGCUGAUCUGCUCAGGGUCAAACUCCUGGAAAGAGUUGAGAGUGGGGCACCUUGUUCCUGCAUCCUCAAAGGAGCAUCUUGUUCCUCUAUUUAAGCUUCCAGAGUUAAAAGAUCCAUCUUGUCUGGAGCCUGAGGAUGAUUGGAGGUAAAUCUGUUUAUCUAUGGCUAUGUAAAGUUUGCCAGUUUUUGUGUGGCACUUUGGAUAGUUGUGCAGGUAUUACUUAAUCCAAAGUCUGCCUUUGGCCAUUUGUGAACCACCUGAAACAGAUUUCUGCUCACAUGAUGAGUUUGAUACCGCCCCAGUCUGAUCAAUAUGACUGAAAGGUAUUUUCUGAGCUGUGAGUUUGCCUUAGACUGGGAAGUUAGUCUUUUUAUAAAAUGUUUGUUGAGACCUACACAGCCUAUUAGGGUGUCCCAUUCCUCUGGGAAUGGUUGACUUAGUUCCCAAUCUCUGUUUUGCAGGUGAAAGGUGUAAGCCAUACUCUGCUCAACUCCAGUCUGAAACUGAGGUUUGAAGAAAGAACACGUACUUAAUACAAUGCUAAGAAUCCAACUCUUGGAGGACAUCAGAAGUGGAAUUUUCUUAUACAACCUACCUAUUCAAAUUAGCAUAUAGUCUUUCUAAAUAAAUAAAGGGAUUUUUUUGUAAACCUUCA
Phacochoerus africanus (Common warthog) is the source of this 953-nucleotide long non-coding RNA. RefSeq lists it as uncharacterized. The record is from RefSeq and is a predicted model, not a curated record. The transcript has 10 exons. Lineage: Eukaryota; Metazoa; Chordata; Mammalia; Artiodactyla; Suidae.